Molecule: long non-coding RNA, 361 nt
Organism: Hibiscus syriacus
Lineage: Eukaryota; Viridiplantae; Streptophyta; Magnoliopsida; Malvales; Malvaceae
Exons: 3
Source: RefSeq, a predicted model, not a curated record
UUCUGCAACCGCGCUUCCUCCUGUGCGAUUACAAGCACAGAGUUUUGAAGAACUUGCCGAACAAAAUCAAAGCAAGGGUAAUUUACAAUCUCAACCAUGUUGCUGCAAACAGGACCCUGGGGCCCAGCUAAGAAGUCAGUUGAGAGGUCACUAGAUUGGCAGACAACAGAGGUUAUCCAUAGAGCUUCCCAUAACCAUCCCAAGUCACAGCCUACUAAAACUUCGUCACUAUCUGCAUUUUCUCGCAUACUUCGGGCUUUCAAUCAUCUUACCAUCAAAAUCCCUGAUAAGUCCUUUGUCACGUAUGAAGGUGGGAAAAUGGAUGAUGAUGGUUCGGUUUUUUUAUAUCAGAAGUAAAACA